RNAcentral lists this ribosomal RNA (253 nucleotides) under uncultured bacterium. RNAcentral's name for it is "partial 16S ribosomal RNA". It matches the Rfam family "Bacterial small subunit ribosomal RNA", at positions 524 to 776 of the family's 1533-position model. The record is from RNAcentral.
UACGUAGGGUGCAAGCGUUAUUCGGAAUUACUGGGCGUAAAGCGCGCGCAGGCGGUUUUGUAAGUCCGAUGUGAGAUCCCCGGGCUUAACCUGGGAACUGCAUUGGUGACUGCAAGGCUUGAGUGUGUCAGAGGGAGGUGGAAUUCCGCGUGUAGCAGUGAAAUGCGUAGAUAUGCGGAGGAACACCGAUGGCGAAGGCAGCCUCCUGGGAUAACACUGACGCUCAUGCACGAAAGCGUGGGGAGCAAACAGG